UCUGAAAUAUGUUCUGUUUUUUCUCCCUCUGCUUGCUUCUUACUGUCUUUGAGGCUCGGGACCAGCACUCCUGCUGUUGGACAGAAAGACAUCAACUUGAGAUAUGACUGCACUGUGCUGUUGCUGGUGACCACAGUUAAUUCUACAAGACAUGCUGUGACACCAGGAGAGAUGAGUCCUCCAUCACAGAUGGUGUGGUCAGUGAAGGUGGUCACCUGCAGGUUCAAGCUCAUUGCAUCUCCAACCCACAUCCACUGCAACUG
This is a long non-coding RNA of Pelmatolapia mariae (spotted tilapia), 263 nucleotides long. RefSeq lists it as uncharacterized. NCBI's taxonomy places the organism in Eukaryota, Metazoa, Chordata, Actinopteri, Cichliformes, Cichlidae. The record is from RefSeq and is a predicted model, not a curated record. The transcript has 3 exons.